Non-coding RNA from Chaetura pelagica (chimney swift), 43 nucleotides. The record is from Rfam. Lineage: Eukaryota; Metazoa; Chordata; Aves; Apodiformes; Apodidae.
CCCAAGGCUCUAGAGCCACAGCCAAAAAAAAAAAAAAAUAUAU